This 282-nucleotide long non-coding RNA is filed under the name Brassica napus (rape). RNAcentral describes it as "long non-coding RNA (BNAP_LNC005482)". Lineage: Eukaryota; Viridiplantae; Streptophyta; Magnoliopsida; Brassicales; Brassicaceae. The record is from RNAcentral.
AAUACAGAUAUACAUACAAACAAUAAGUGUACAUUGAUGGUCCUGCCAUGGCUACAAUAUAACAAAAUUUUAAGGAUCCUGCUCCUCUGUUGAAAAGCUUCAUUGUCUAGUCAUAUGCUUAAGAAGCAAUGACAGAAGAAGGUGACAACUUUAUGCAAAAAGAGGCAGACGCAUGAGCCCUCCAAAGCAAGAAUGAGCUUGAGGGCCAAUCCUGGAACUGCUCUUUAGUUUACAUCUCUUUAUCUAACAUCUCCACUUUGUGGGUUCUUCAUUGUUUUGGGG